Molecule: ribosomal RNA, 549 nt
Filed under: uncultured bacterium
Lineage: Bacteria
Description: bacterial SSU rRNA
Rfam family: Bacterial small subunit ribosomal RNA
Source: RNAcentral
UGGGGAAUAUUGCGCAAUGGGGGGAACCCUGACGCAGCCAUGCCGCGUGAAUGAAGAAGGCCUUAGGGUUGUAAAGUUCUUUCGGUAUUGAGGAAGGUUGAUGUGUUAAUAGCACAUCAAAUUGACGUUAAAUACAGAAGAAGCACCGGCUAACUCCGUGCCAGGCAGCCGCGGUAAUACGGAGGGUGCGAGCGUUAAUCGGAAUAACUGGGCGUAAAGGGCACGCAGGCGGUUAUUUAAGUGAGGUGUGAAAGCCCCGGGCUUAACCUGGGAAUUUGCAUUUCAGACUGGGUAACUAGAGUACUUUAGGGAGGGGUAGAAUUCCACGUGUAGCGGUGAAAUGCGUAGAGAUGUGGAGGAAUACCGAAGGCGAAGGCAGCCCCUUGGGAAUGUACUGACGCUCAUGUGCGAAAGCGUGGGGAGCAAACAGGAUUAGAUACCCUGGUAGUCCACGCUGUAAACGCUGUCGAUUUGGGGGUUGGGGUUUAACUCUGGCGCCCGUAGCUAACGUGAUAAAUCGACCGCCUGGGGAGUACGGCCGCAAGGUUA